AGUGAACGCUGGCGGCGUGCUUAACACAUGCAAGUCGAACGGUAACAGGAACUAGCUUGCUAGUUUGCUGACGAGUGGCGCACGGGUGAGUAAUAUAUAGUUAAUGUACCCCAAAGACUGGGAUAGCCACUGGAAACGGUGAUUAAUACUAGAUACACCUCUUUUAACAUAAGUUAGAGAGGGAAAUGUCUUUUCGCUUUGGGAUCAGACUAUAUCCUAUCAGUUAGUUGGUGAGGUAAUGGCUCACCAAGGCAAUGACGGGUAGCGGGUUUGAGAGGAUGAUCCGCCACACUGGUACUGAGACACGGACCAGACUCCUACGGGAGGCAGCAGUGAGGAAUAUUGCACAAUGGAGGAAACUCUGAUGCAGCAACGCCGCGUGGAGGAUGACGCAUUUCGGUGUGUAAACUCCUUUUAUGAGUCAAGAAAAUGACGGUAGCUCAUGAAUAAGCACCGGCCAACUCCGUGCCAGCAGCCGCGGUAA
RNAcentral lists this ribosomal RNA (484 nucleotides) under uncultured bacterium. RNAcentral describes it as "bacterial SSU rRNA". It matches the Rfam family "Bacterial small subunit ribosomal RNA", at positions 29 to 523 of the family's 1533-position model. The record is from RNAcentral.